This 246-nucleotide ribosomal RNA is filed under the name uncultured bacterium. RNAcentral describes it as "partial 16S ribosomal RNA". It matches the Rfam family "Bacterial small subunit ribosomal RNA", at positions 523 to 769 of the family's 1533-position model. The record is from RNAcentral.
AUACGUAGGGGGCGAGCGUUGUCCGGAAUGAUUGGGCUAAAGGGCGCGUAGGCGGCCUGUUAAGUCUGGAGUGAAAGUCCUGCUUUCAAGGUGGGAAUUGCUUUGGAAACUGGCGGGCUGGAGUGCAAGAGAGGUUAGCGGAAUUCCCGGUGUAGCGGUGAAAUGCGUAGAGAUCGGGAGGAACACCAGUGGCGAAGGCGGCUAACUGGACUGUAACUGACGCUGAGGCGCGAAAGCGUGGGGAGC